AUUCUUUUUUGGUUUGUGUGGUGGUUGGGUUUUCACACCAUUGGGUGACAUGUGCCUCCCUCUAAACCUUGUUACAUGGGCACAUUACCUGUCUGAUG
Molecule: small nucleolar RNA, 98 nt
Organism: Heterocephalus glaber (naked mole-rat)
Lineage: Eukaryota; Metazoa; Chordata; Mammalia; Rodentia; Bathyergidae
Source: Ensembl